UACCAGGCGUGGCAGGUGCCCGGCCGGGUCUCAUAAGCCCGGCGUGCCCGGAUCGUUACCGGGGCCUGGGAU
RNAcentral lists this transfer RNA (72 nucleotides) under Tautonia plasticadhaerens. Its description in RNAcentral is "Planctomycetes bacterium ElP tRNA-Met". Lineage: Bacteria; Pseudomonadati; Planctomycetota; Planctomycetia; Isosphaerales; Isosphaeraceae. The record is from RNAcentral.